UUAACUUCAAUAUGUAAAGCGUGGUAUAAUACUAUAUUUUAUCGUUUAUCUUGUCGUUAUGAAAAUAGAGUGAAAUGACUACGAAAAAUUUGUUUCAUUUAAGAAAAACUUUAAUAUGUAAAGCAUGGUAUAAUACUACGUUUUGUGGGAAAUCUUGACUAUAAAUUCAUUAAGAAGUUUAUGAAAGUAUGACUUCCAUCUUUGCCUAAUCUGGGCCUCUUACAUCAAUACUCGACUGUCUUCGUCUUUGAUGCACCCCAUUUGAUCCAGGUCGCGAGCCUUCUUCCCUCUCUCUUUGGCCAACCUAAUUAACUUCUUGUCUGCACCGUUGCCCCCAAGUUCCUCAUAUAACCGACCAACAGUAGCAGGCUUAGCCUCUAUGACUGCUAAUUUUGCCUCCUUCCUAGCCUUCUUAUAUCUUUCUCUGUUCUCUCUCAUCUGAUCCUCAUCGGUGCUCUCUAUUAACUUAAUGUAAGCCACUUUCUUGGCUUCCACUUUAUCUUGGACCACUUCAUUUUACCACCAGUCGUCUCGGUGCUUGCCAGAGUAACCUUUCCAAACUACCAACACCUCUCUCGCUGCCUCCCUUAUACAGUCCGAUAUCGCUGCCCCCAUAGCGCUGGCGUCCCCACCACUCUUCCAGGAACCAUAGUUGUCAGCCGCACCUCCAUGUCCCGCACAUUAUCCUUAGACAAAGCUCUCCACCUGAUACUCUGACUUACCCUGUAGAAACUUUUUGUCCUCUUCAUCAAGAAACCGACGUCAACAAGGAAAACCAUAAUGAAUGGCCAUUGAUAUGCAAACAGACUGUGGUUCGAAUCGAUACUCUUUAGCCUUCUUUAUAUAGGGAUGCUUAGUAGUGUAGUAACUCGAUCCAUG
RNAcentral lists this long non-coding RNA (879 nucleotides) under Nicotiana benthamiana. RNAcentral's name for it is "long non-coding RNA (NBEN_LNC028949)". The record is from RNAcentral. Lineage: Eukaryota; Viridiplantae; Streptophyta; Magnoliopsida; Solanales; Solanaceae.